GCUGGCGGCGUGCUUAACACAUGCAAGUCGAACGAUGAAGGAGGAGCUUGCUCCUCCGGAUUAGUGGCGAACGGGUGAGUAAUACGUGAGCAAUGUGCCCUUGACUCUGGGAUAAGCGCUGGAAACGGCGUCUAAUACCGGAUACGACCNUCGGAGGCAUCUCCUGGUGGUGGAAAGAACUUCGGUCAAGGAUCAGCUCACGGCCUAUCAGCUAGUUGGUGAGGUAACGGCUCACCAAGGCGACGACGGGUAGCCGGCCUGAGAGGGUGACCGGCCACACUGGGACUGAGACACGGCCCAGACUCCUACGGGAGGCAGCAGUGGGGAAUAUUGCACAAUGGGCGCAAGCCUGAUGCAGCAACGCCGCGUGAGGGACGAAGGCCUUCGGGUUGUAAACCUCUUUUAGCAGGGAAGAAGCGAAAGUGACGGUACCUGCAGAAAAAGCACCGGCUAACUACGUGCCAGCAG
This 468-nucleotide ribosomal RNA is filed under the name uncultured Agrococcus sp. RNAcentral describes it as "bacterial SSU rRNA". It matches the Rfam family "Bacterial small subunit ribosomal RNA", at positions 35 to 514 of the family's 1533-position model. The record is from RNAcentral. Lineage: Bacteria; Bacillati; Actinomycetota; Actinomycetes; Micrococcales; Microbacteriaceae.